CGGAGGAAGAGAAACCAACCGGGAUUGCCCUAGUAACGGCGAGUGAAGCGGCAACAGCUCAAAUUUGAAAUCUGGCGCCUUCGGUGCCCGAGUUGUAAUUUGUAGAGGGUAGCUCGAGCCCGCCCCCGUCUAAGUCCCCUGGAACGGGGCGUCGUAGAGGGUGAGAAUCCCGUAUGCGACGGGGUGGCGUGCUCGUGUGAGCUCCCUUCGACGAGUCGAGUUGUUUGGGAAUGCAGCUCUAAAUGGGAGGUAAAUUCCUUCUAAAGCUAAAUACCGGCCAGAGACCGAUAGCGCACAAGUAGAGUGAUCGAAAGAUGAAAAGCACUUUGGAAAGAGAGUUAAAAAGCACGUGAAAUUGUUGAAAGGGAAGCGCUCACGACCAGACUCGGGUGCGGCUGCUCAGCCGGUCUUCUGACCGGUGCAUCGGUUGUACCCGGGCCAGCAUCGGUUCGGGCGGUCGGAUAAAGGCCUCGGGAACGUAGCUCCUCUCGGGGAGUGUUAUAGCCCGGGGCGCAAUGCGGCCUGCCCGGACCGAGGAACGCGUUCGCUAGGAUGCUGGCGUAAUGGUCGUUAGCGGCCCGUCUUGAAACACGGACCAAGGAGUCUACCAUCUGUGCGAGUAUUAGGGUGUCAAAACCCUUGUGCGUAAUGAAAGUGAACGGAGGUGGGAACCCUUUGGGUGCACCAUCGACCGAUCCAGAUGUCCUCGGACGGAUUUGAGUAAGAGCACCGCUGGUGGGACCCGAAAGAUGGUGAACUAUGCGCGGAUAGGGUGAAGCCAGAGGAAACUCUGGUGGAGGCUCGCAGCGGUUCUGACGUGCAAAUCGAUCGUCAAAUCUACGCAUAGGGGCGAAAGACUAAUCGAACCAU
This 870-nucleotide ribosomal RNA is filed under the name Thyrinula parasitica. RNAcentral's name for it is "partial 28S ribosomal RNA". It matches the Rfam family "Eukaryotic large subunit ribosomal RNA", at positions 51 to 943 of the family's 3401-position model. Lineage: Eukaryota; Fungi; Ascomycota; Dothideomycetes; Asterinales; Asterinaceae. The record is from RNAcentral.